This 428-nucleotide ribosomal RNA is filed under the name uncultured archaeon. RNAcentral's name for it is "bacterial SSU rRNA". It matches the Rfam family "Archaeal small subunit ribosomal RNA", at positions 474 to 903 of the family's 1478-position model. The record is from RNAcentral.
CACCAGCCCCUCGAGUGGUGGGGAUGAUUAUUUGGCCUAAAGCGUCCGUAGCCGGCCGGGUAAGUUUCCCGUUAAAUCCAGCGUCUCAAGCGUUGGACUGCGGGAAAUACUGCCUGCUAGAGAGUGGGAGAGGUGUACGGUAUUCUGGGGGUAGGGGCGAAAUCCUUUGAUCCCCGGAGGACCACCAGUGGCGAAGGCUGUACACUAGAACACGUCUGACGGUCAGGGACGAAAGCUGGGGUAGCGAACCGGAUUAGAUACCCGGGUAGUCCCAGCUGUAAACGAUGCAUGCUAGGUGUUGGGUUGGCCACGAGCCACCCCAGUGCCGCAGGGAAGCCGUUAAGCAUGCCGCCUGGGAAGUACGAUCGCAAGAUUGAAACUUAAAGGAAUUGGCGGGGGAGCACCACCAGGCGUGAAGCCUGCGGUUU